This 497-nucleotide ribosomal RNA is filed under the name uncultured bacterium. RNAcentral's name for it is "partial 16S ribosomal RNA". It matches the Rfam family "Bacterial small subunit ribosomal RNA", at positions 28 to 507 of the family's 1533-position model. The record is from RNAcentral.
GACGAACGCUGGCGGCGCGCCUAAUACAUGCAAGUUGAGCGCUGAAGGUUGGUACUUGUACCAACUGGAUGAGCAGCGAACGGGUGAGUAACGCGUGGGGAAUCUGCCUUUGAGCGGGGGACAACAUUUGGAAACGAAUGCUAAUACCGCAUAAAAACUUUAAACACAAGUUUUAAGUUUGAAAGAUGCAAUUGCAUCACUCAAAGAUGAUCCCGCGUUGUAUUAGCUAGUUGGUGAGGUAAAGGCUCACCAAGGCGAUGAUACAUAGCCGACCUGAGAGGGUGAUCGGCCACAUUGGGACUGAGACACGGCCCAAACUCCUACGGGAGGCAGCAGUAGGGAAUCUUCGGCAAUGGACGAAAGUCUGACCGAGCAACGCCGCGUGAGUGAAGAAGGUUGUCGGAUCGUAAAACUCUGUUGGUAGAGAAGAACGUUGGUGAGAGUGGAAAGCUCAUCAAGUGACGGUAACUACCCAGAAAGGGACGGCUAACUACGUG